CCUACGGGUGGCAGCAGUGGGGAAUAUUGCGCAAUGGGCGAAAGCCUGACGCAGCGACGCCGCGUGAGGGAUGAAGGUCUUCGGAUCGUAAACCUCUGUCAGCAGGGAAGAACGGUCACUGUGCUAAUCAGCAGUGAAUUGACGGUACCUGCAAAGGAAGCACCGGCUAACUCCGUGCCAGCAGCCGCGGUAAUACGGAGGGUGCGAGCGUUAAUCGGAAUUACUGGGCGUAAAGCGCUCGUAGGCGGUAUGUCAAGUCAAGGGUGAAAUCCCCGCGCUCAACGUGGGAACUGCCUUUGAAACUGGCAAACUGGAGUGUGUGAGAGGAUAGAGGAAUUCCAGGUGUAGGAGUGAAAUGCGUAGAUAUCUGGAGGAACAUCAGUGGCGAAGGCGACUAUCUGGCACAUAACUGACGCUGAGGAGCGAAAGCGUGGGUAGCAAACAGGAUUAGAUACCCUAGUAGUC
RNAcentral lists this ribosomal RNA (465 nucleotides) under uncultured bacterium. RNAcentral's name for it is "partial 16S ribosomal RNA". It matches the Rfam family "Bacterial small subunit ribosomal RNA", at positions 338 to 795 of the family's 1533-position model. The record is from RNAcentral.